GUCAGUAACCCAGCCCUCUGGGCUUGCAAGAGUAAUCAAGCAAGCCGUACUGACCAGACCACCCUGAGUUUACUCUCAUGGUAGCCGUUAUUUGAGUCACGACACCCCGGAAUGCGAAGCUAGUUCCCUGCUCUGUCGCUUGUGAUUAAACAGUUCUAAGGUCACUGGAACAGUGUUGCAAGCUCAAGCAAGCUCUUAUAACAGGUCGAAGCUAACAUUAC
Molecule: non-coding RNA, 221 nt
Organism: Aphanizomenon flos-aquae
Lineage: Bacteria; Bacillati; Cyanobacteriota; Cyanophyceae; Nostocales; Aphanizomenonaceae
Source: Rfam